CAAAGUUUAAAAUGGGCCAUUCAUUGAAAGUGCGCCUUAUAAUCCGGUGCGCAUUAUAGUGCGGAAAAUACGGUAGUUCUAAUUUAGGUAGUUGUAAAUGUACCAACGGUUUUGCUUGGUGGACUCGCAUUUCUAAGAAUUCUAAGGUGACUAUUUUAUUACUGGAAAUUGAUUAAGCCUCAAAAUGUUUUCCAAUUAUGAGAUAAGAGUUGAAAUGUGAACAUUUAAAAAAAAAAAGCCCAUUGAGUGCUGUGUCUUUCCAAUGACAAUUUUUUUUAAUGUUAACCACUUUGCAAAAAAAGGCAAAACAAGGCUUUUGGGAGUUUGCUGAGUAUUUAUUGCUUGAGUUAUGAUGGAAAUCCACUACUCCAAUUACGAAUUGACUACUAUUCAGUACAUCUUAUAUAAUUUUCAUUUUUUUUAAACUCCCUACAACAUGUAUAUUUAUUGGCCGUUUCUACAGUCACAGUCACAAAACAUCCAGACUGACUGAUGUAGUCAGUCUGGAUGUUUUUUUCCUGAUAAACUUUGAAUUUAUGUGAUGUUUCAUUCUGUGGGUUUAUUUGUAUGUUUUUUUUUUUUUUAAAAGGAGCGUGUUAGUGGCAAAAUUGAUGCAUCAGGCUGUCGUAACACAGCAAUGUAUUGGUUGGUGAAAUCAUUGCUGCCUUUUUCAUAUUUGUGGGAAGUUGGGAGACAACCGAAAGAUUUUUUUUUCUUAUUCAUUUGAGUGAAUGAUCUCGUUAGCGGAUUUGUUUCCAAUUCGAUGUCAGCGUUGCUGCUUGAGAAAUAGUUACUUAGUACUGUAAAUCAUGCUAACUGACACAAUGAAAAUGUGAGUUUUUAGAAGACUUCUUCUAGAUCUGGACUAAUAUUUAGUCAGUUAUAUUAAAAUAUAUGCCAAUGUAGCUCCUCAACUACAAAACAUUAGAAUCAAUCUCAAUUUGCUCUUUCAAAAUGAGUCGUUGUGUUGGUACUUACAUGGAUCUUUCAGCUACAAUGGCAUUUGCACUGUGAUCUAGUAGGUGAUAACUAUGUUAAUAUGAUGCACCCACAACGUGAGAAGAGUUUUCUGAUACUGUAUAAAUGUUGCUAAUUUAUUUUGUAACAAAAUAAAAACACUAAGGUGCGUGAUAUGAAGCAUCCAACUGCUGGUUUAAUUGUUAUGGGCCAAAUGUUAAUAUUUCACUGACAAAGCGGGAAAAAUAGUCAUUUGUUAUAUGCAAAGUGCAUGAUAGCAAUGCAAACAUUCAUUGUAUCUGUGAAAACUAUUUUAACCAAUAAAUGUUUCUUCAUUCUUAAUAAUCUGA
This is a long non-coding RNA of Syngnathus acus (greater pipefish), 1307 nucleotides long. RefSeq lists it as uncharacterized. The record is from RefSeq and is a predicted model, not a curated record. The transcript has 2 exons. NCBI's taxonomy places the organism in Eukaryota, Metazoa, Chordata, Actinopteri, Syngnathiformes, Syngnathidae.